RNAcentral lists this ribosomal RNA (375 nucleotides) under uncultured bacterium. RNAcentral describes it as "bacterial SSU rRNA". It matches the Rfam family "Bacterial small subunit ribosomal RNA", at positions 521 to 896 of the family's 1533-position model. The record is from RNAcentral.
UAAUACGAAGGGGGCUAGCGUUGCUCGGAAUUACUGGGCGUAAAGGGCGCGUAGGCGGACAGUUUAGUCAGAGGUGAAAGCCCAGGGCUCAACCUUGGAAUUGCCUUUGAUACUGGCUGUCUUGAGUUCGGGAGAGGUGAGUGGAAUGCCGAGUGUAGAGGUGAAAUUCGUAGAUAUUCGGCGGAACACCAGUGGCGAAGGCGACUCACUGGCCCGAUACUGACGCUGAGGCGCGAAAGCGUGGGGAGCAAACAGGAUUAGAUACCCUGGUAGUCCACGCCGUAAACUAUGGGUGCUAGCCGUCGGGGAGCUUGCUCUUCGGUGGCGCAGCAAACGCAUUAAGCACCCCGCCUGGGGAGUACGGUCGCAAGAUUA